ACGUAGGAGGCAAACGUUAUCCGGAUUUACUGGGCGUAAAGCGCGUGUAGGUGGUUUGGUAAGUAGAGCGUGAAAGCUCCUGGCUCAACUGGGAGAGGUCGUGCUAAACUGCCGGACUAGAGGAUGGUAGAGGGAGGUGGAAUUCCGGGGGUAGCGGUGGAAUCCGCAGAUCCCUGGAGGAACACCAGUGGCGAAAGCGGCCUCCUAGAACGGACCUGACGCUAAGGCGCGAAAGCUAGGGUAGCAAACGG
This 251-nucleotide ribosomal RNA is filed under the name uncultured prokaryote. RNAcentral describes it as "partial 16S rRNA". It matches the Rfam family "Bacterial small subunit ribosomal RNA", at positions 525 to 775 of the family's 1533-position model. The record is from RNAcentral.